GCAAGUCGAGCGGAUGAAGGGAGCUUGCUCCUGGAUUCAGCGGCGGACGGGUGAGUAAUGCCUAGGAAUCUGCCUGGUAGUGGGGGAUAACGUCCGGAAACGGGCGCUAAUACCGCAUACGUCCUGAGGGAGAAAGUGGGGGAUCUUCGGACCUCACGCUAUCAGAUGAGCCUAGGUCGGAUUAGCUAGUUGGUGGGGUAAAGGCCUACCAAGGCGACGAUCCGUAACUGGUCUGAGAGGAUGAUCAGUCACACUGGAACUGAGACACGGUCCAGACUCCUACGGGAGGCAGCAGUGGGGAAUAUUGGACAAUGGGCGAAAGCCUGAUCCAGCCAUGCCGCGUGUGUGAAGAAGGUCUUCGGAUUGUAAAGCACUUUAAGUUGGGAGGAAGGGCAGUAAGUUAAUACCUUGCUGUUUUGACGUUACCAACAGAAUAAGCACCGGCUAACUUCGUGCCAGCAGCCGCGGUAAUACGAAGGGUGCAAGCGUUAAUCGGAAUUACUGGGCGUAAAGCGCGCGUAGGUGGUUCAGCAAGUUGGAUGUGAAAUCCCCGGGCUCAACCUGGGAACUGCAUCCAAAACUACUGAGCUAGAGUACGGUAGAGGGUGGUGGAAUUUCCUGUGUAGCGGUGAAAUGCGUAGAUAUAGGAAGGAACACCAGUG
This 662-nucleotide ribosomal RNA is filed under the name uncultured Pseudomonas sp. Its description in RNAcentral is "bacterial SSU rRNA". It matches the Rfam family "Bacterial small subunit ribosomal RNA", at positions 57 to 714 of the family's 1533-position model. Lineage: Bacteria; Pseudomonadati; Pseudomonadota; Gammaproteobacteria; Pseudomonadales; Pseudomonadaceae. The record is from RNAcentral.